Molecule: long non-coding RNA, 1026 nt
Organism: Dromaius novaehollandiae (emu)
Lineage: Eukaryota; Metazoa; Chordata; Aves; Casuariiformes; Dromaiidae
Exons: 3
Source: RefSeq, a predicted model, not a curated record
AGGCUAUUUACUGAGAUGUUCACAAAACUAAAUCCAGCUCUACACAGAGGCCACCACUUAAAGAAGCCCAUCUUCCAACAAGAUUACGAGGAAUUACAUCGAACUAUCAGUGGAGAAAUGUGUCUCCCAGGAACUGAUGCUCUGGAAGCCCAAGUCAGUUACCUUCCUAAGGAAAACCAUGAAACUGCCCUCUUCACAAGGCAUCCUGCUUCUUGCCACUCUUCCAGCACUCAGACACUCUGAUGACAGAAGAGAAUCAGACAAACACAGUAGUUAGAUCAGGCAGGUCUUUCAGAACCAGGAUAAUCCAUGCACAGUGCUAUUACUGCAAGCUUGCACGUUACAGACAAGCCAAACUGAAGAGCAGAUGCACAGGUCACACUGCUGUGAACUAAUUCUUCAGGUGAAAAUUUUCACUGUGGACUGAAGCAAACAAAUACCAAAUGGUUCUUUGCUGUUCUUGCCACAACUACUCUUUUCAAUUUAAGAAAUGGUAAGGUCAAAUGACUCCAUGCGCUAUUCUGAAAGUGUAUUGAGGCCUGAAAGUGGGAUAAAGGCCCUACCAACCUUCAGAGGCACUCCCGCCCCAUGAGGGAAACACAUGGGGAGAUGUACUGUUAAGGCUCUCACAAGAGGCAAACAGCUGUCAUGCUGUGACGGGUUUGUGCCGCAUAAGGUUGAACGCUCAGAACCCAGACACCAAGUGAGAUACUCUUAAGUUAGUCCGGCUGGCUCUGCACCGUUAUUAAUCAUACUUUGCUGUGAAAGGUCAGUGGAGUAAAUACAGCUAAACAGUUUUAUUUCAGAUAAUACAGCCAGACCACUACACAACCCAACUGUUGCAAAAGGGAGUGUCAUUUGGCUGCAAAAGAUGAUGAACUGAAGAAUUUACACUGGACAAGCACCACCAUUUCAGUAGCGACAAAUGUAUUUUUCACUGCUCGUUGAAAAGAGGAAAUGCUUUGCUCUCAGGCUCUUGUUUCUCUUCUAGAGCUUACAAGAUGACUUGCAAAAGCUUUUGUCACU